Molecule: non-coding RNA, 2704 nt
Organism: Cajanus cajan (pigeon pea)
Lineage: Eukaryota; Viridiplantae; Streptophyta; Magnoliopsida; Fabales; Fabaceae
Source: RefSeq, a predicted model, not a curated record
UUCUGUGGCGCAACACAACCAUGUCUAUGAUUUGCAUAUUGUAAUUGUUUUCUCUCGUUUUUGCUAACAAUAAUUGCUUCCUUCCACAGACACUCUCUGCAGACUGCACUAUUCCUAAUUCCCUCUGUUUUGAUUUCGAUUAUUAAUUAUUAGUUUGAUCGUGACAGAGAAGGAUUGGUUUCAUUGAGCUUGAAAGCAAGUAAGUGUUGCAAAUCGACACUUACUUUGUUUUCUAAACUAAAAUUUCCUUAAAAAUGUUAUCUUUCGCUAGAAAUUGCUUCAAAUAUCCUGGUACCUACUUCACGAGGAAUGUUUCAAAUCAAAAUAUACUCUCCACAAACUCAUUUCGCCACAAAUUUCCUGAGCUCGAUAAUACUUUUGGGAAAAAUUUACACAAGAUAGGUUUCUUUCACCAUACCCACAAAUUUCACUCAUUUAUAUUCCAAAUCAGCACUAAUUACACUCAUUUUCCGGUCCCAUUUGCACCAUUUAUUUCUCAAUAUUCAACCAAGGCUCCUUCAAGAUCUUAUAGAAGACGGGCUCGGAAGAGGUUGUUAAAGGCCUCCAAGCCUACCCUAGACCAAGCCCAAUUUCAGUUGGUACUGUCCCAACUUCCCCCAAGGUUCACUCCUCAAGAACUAUGCAAUGUGAUUACUCAACAAGAUGACCCCUUAGUUUGCUUAGAAUUGUUUCACUGGGCGUCUCAGCAGCCCCGGUUUCGGCACGAUGAGUCCACAUUUCAUGUUGCCAUAAAGAAGCUUGGUGCUGCACAGAUGUACCAAGAGAUGGAUGACAUUGUGAACCAAUUGCUUGCGGUUCCGUUUAUUGGUUCAGAGGCAUUGUUCAACACGGUUAUAUAUUAUUUCACUCAGGCGCGGAAGUUGACUAGAGCUGUCCAUGUGUUUAAGCACAUGAAAAGUGGUAGGAAUUUGAAUUGCUGUUUUAGGCCUUCUCUUAGGACCUAUAAUAUUCUUUUUGCGGCAUUUUUGGGUAGAGGAAGCAACUCCUAUAUAAACCAUGUGUAUAUGGAAACAAUUAGGUGUUUGUUCAGGCAAAUGGUCAAUGAUGGGAUCAAGCCUGAUAUUUUUUCAUUGAACACUAUGAUCAAAGGUUAUGUGCUAUCUCUUCAUGUCAAUGAUGCAUUGAGGAUAUUUCAUCAGAUGGGUGUGAUCUAUGAUUGUCAGCCCAACGCUUUAACAUAUGAUUGCUUGAUUCACGGCUUGUGUGCACAAGGCAGAACAAAUAAUGCCAAAGAAUUAUGUUGUGAAAUGAAGACCAAAGGCUUUGUUCCUAGUAGUAAAUCAUAUAAUUCGCUUGUCAAUUCUUUGGCACUUGGUGGAGAGAUUGAGGAGGCAGUAAAUUAUCUGUGGGAGAUGACUGAUAAGCAAAGGUCGGUUGAUUUUAUUACAUAUAGGACUGUACUGGAUGAGAUAUGUAGACAAGGAACAAUUCAGGAGGGCAUGAGGUUUUUGCAGGAGUUGCAAGAAAAGGACCUUGUAGAUGGGCAUGCAUACAGGAAGCUUCUAUAUGUGCUUGAAGAUGACUAUGGGAAUUCAGUAAGCAAUGUGGGAAAUCGGUGAGCAGAAUUGGUUCAGGAGUCUCCUCCCCUCAAAAGAGAGUUCGCUUUUUUCCCUAUCAGAUGCUGCCUUCUUGGUCAGGACAGAAAAUUGACCUUGCAUAGUAUUGUUGAAGAAGAACACGGGUUGUGUGACCAAAUCCUCUGUGGUUGCCAUCAAAUAAAAGAUGGGAUUCUCAUGGCUGCUAAUAUGGGAGGUCAAAUGCAAAUUCAACUCUCAUCCCUAUUUUUUCAUAUUUCACUUUUAUAGUGUACAUAAUAAAACUUUUUUUUUGGUUGUUGAUUGCAUAUUGAGUAUGCAUAUGAACAGUCCAAUCAGUAUUUACUGUCCAAAAUCCAAUUGAGAAAUUGUUUAGUUAGUUUAUUUGGUGGAAUUGUGUUCUUCAUUGUUGUUUUUUCUUUACAAUUUUUUUGUUUAAAGAAACAAAUAUGUGCCUUCGUUUAUGUUGAAUGAUGUAGUUUUAGUAAAUUGUGAUUUAUGUUUCUGAAUUGUCAAUGUCAGCUACGUGCUGUGCAGUUCAUUGCCCAUUAGUGGCCUCACUCUAUGAUUUAUUUAAAUGAUGGUUACACUAAUAGGUUCGUAUGGGUCUACCAUGCGAUACAAGAGUGUUGAGCGUGUAAAGCCCAUUGGGAAACAUUCCCUUCUUGGUGCCAGUGGGGAAAGAUUCUGCUCUACCUCGACAAGCUUAUUCUGAAUGACAAUAUGUGGGAUGAUGGGAAUUCUUUAGGGCCUAAGGAGUUGCACAACUGUUUAACUCAAGUUAUGUGGAACUCCCUUGUUCUUGGUGGUGUGAAGAAUGGAUAAAAGUACCUUGGCAGGGUUACCAUGAUUGGUAUUAAUUUUGAAGACAAUCAUAUAGCUACUGUGGGAAAUAAUCGUGCUAGGCCAAUUCUCCGUGAAUGAGUGGCAUGAAAGUUUGACCGUUGAAGAAGGCAUCAAGUUGCUGGAAAAAUGUAUGCGUGUGCUUCUACAUCGGAAUAGAUCUGCUGUCAACAAGAUAUAGGUUAUGGAUCUUCUUAGUCCAGCCAAAUAAGAUUAUUAUGAACAACAAAAUUAAUCUUAUGAAUAUUUAAUGUAACUACUAGUUAAGCUAUUACAAACCUGUAUUGAUUAAUCCACAUAUUUGA